CCCAGGGCCUGCAGUCUCGACAAAGAUAGCGAUCGCUUAACGACAAAAUUCGGUCGAUAAGUCCUAACGAUCCGAUCGUAACGAUUUUUGGUAGUCUCUACUGCCAAAACUAUCGAGUGUCAUCGCAAAGUUACCGAAUAUUUUCGGUAAGAUAACGAUUUAUCGUUAUGUCAUAGAAUUUCCUUGCGACAGUUUUUGACAGCCCGCUAAGUGAUAGCUACUAUCGAUAUCGUUCCUAUAUUUGUUUAUUUUACGUCAGAAAAUAUUAAAUAAAUAGUAAUUUAAUAAAUAAUGGCUUCUGAAUAUUUAGCAUGGGACUUAGUUGUGCUCGAGCACAGACGCGAUGUGCUUAUGGGUCGACAAAUAGCACGAAACAAGCGAAACGAUGAAAAUCCCUUGGAUUUGGAGGAUGGCCAAUUUCUUCAAAUGUAUAGAAUUUCAAAGGAAAUGUUUCACAGGCUACUAAGUGAACUGCGUCCAUCUCUCCAAAGACGACGGCCUUACGGACUUUCUGUGGAGUCCCAAAUACUGACGGCACUCCGAUUUUACGCAUGUGGGUGCUACCAACAACCUGUUGGCUUGCAGUGGGGUUGUAGCAUGAGCCAAAAAUCUGUUAGCCGAGUCAUCCGGGCUGUAACUUCGGCAAUAAAUGAAAAACUUUUAAGAAAAUAUAUUAAAUUUCCAAUGACUCAAGGAGAACGCCAUGCGGCAAAACAGAAAUUUAGAAAUGCCCCACAGCCAUUCCCAGGGGUAUUGGAGCCAUUGAUUGCACCCAUAUAAAAAUUUUAGCUCCUAAGACCAAUGAGGAGUCUUAUGUGAGUGGUCACCAUGAGGGCCAUUCAUUAAAUGUGCAAGCUGUGUGUGACCCUGAUCUUAUUAUUUUAAAUAUUAAUGCUCGAUGGCCAGGAGCGAGACAUGAUGCUCACAUAUGGGCAAAUUCACCGGUGCGCUCAACAAUGAAGCGACAUUUUGAAAAUGGGGACCGCCGUGCUUGGCUGCUUGGUGAUGAUGGAUAUCCUCUGGAACCGUGGUUAAUGACUCCCAUAAAACAUCAACAGCCUGGCACACCGGAAUAUAAAUAUACCGAAGCACACUGCUCAGCUAGGAACAUCAUAGAAAGAUGCUUCGGUGUGCUAAAAUCUGUGUUUAGAUGUCUAUCACACCAACGCCAGUUAAUGUACGAACCCUAUAUGGCUGGCCUAAUAAUUAACGCAUGUGCAGUGCUCCACAAUAUGCGGAUAACAUAUAAAUUACCGGAACCAGAGUCCACCACAUCCAUGCAGCUGGUGGAUAAUAGUAGAUUCCAUGAUGAUAUGUUAGAAGUUACAGGUUCUGGGCGAGCUGUUGCAGAGCGCAUAAGAAGAAGGCUAAUUAACACUAGUUUCACAUAAUUAUUAUACUUUUUUCAUUUAUGUACUGUUUCAAAUAAAAACAUUUUAUAUCA
This is a long non-coding RNA of Helicoverpa armigera (cotton bollworm), 1444 nucleotides long. RefSeq lists it as uncharacterized. The transcript is spliced from 5 exons. The record is from RefSeq and is a predicted model, not a curated record. NCBI's taxonomy places the organism in Eukaryota, Metazoa, Arthropoda, Insecta, Lepidoptera, Noctuidae.